Homo sapiens (human) is the source of this 2699-nucleotide long non-coding RNA. RefSeq lists it as uncharacterized. The record is from RefSeq and is a predicted model, not a curated record. The transcript has 2 exons. Lineage: Eukaryota; Metazoa; Chordata; Mammalia; Primates; Hominidae.
AAGGGGAGAAAGCAGAAGGAAGGGGCUUCCUAGCUUUGCCCCUUUUUGUAUCCUGCUGAAAGCUGUGGCAGGGGUUGAGUGUGAGGAGGCAUGGGGACAUGAAUGAGUUUCCCCUCUGCAGCAUUUGCCUUGAGUGGAGGAUGGGGUAAACUUCCCAGUGUAGCCCAGAAAAAAAUCUAGCUCACAGUGGCUGAAGACUGUUGACUUAACAGCUAUACAGGCACCUGCAGACACAGGUUGUAUGACGGGAGCGCAUCUGUUGAAUGCUGUUGCAGUUAUGUCACAGGCAAAAUAGGACUUACUGGGCUAGUCUGUGCCCUGGUCACUGUGAGUGCAUCAUUUUAGAACAUCAUUAUUUUGGAAAAAAGGAAGGACCACAUUCUAAAUUCCAAACAGCUGACUCAUGAGCGGACUUUUGGAAGCCACCAACCCUUUGUCAUUGAGAGCUGCCUGAUCGCAGGGUCACACAGAGGUGUAUAAAGGCCGGACUUCAGGCAGUCAUGUGAGCAUGCUCACAGAGGCCGAGUCGUGUGGCAAGCCUCGUGGAGAAGUCUGCAGGCUUCUUGCUCCUAAGAAGAUGUGAAUUUGGAGUAGUGAGCUGGAGAAGCAGCUGGCUCUAGAUUUAUCCCCCAAGUGGUGGGAUAAAUGCCCGAGGAAGGAGACCCCAGCACGUUGAAAAAAAAAAUCAUCGUAUUUGAUGAAAAGCAUUCAGAGGCUGGAUUGUAGUAGGGGUAGAGGUACAUAGAAGGAGAAGGGUGCAGGAAAGAUAUUCUUUCCACUGCCAAUGAGAUGAUAAAGGACUAUUCAGCUUUUAAACCUCAGGGGCUGGUGAACAUUUGUUGGCUGAAGGUAGAAGGGUUUUAUCUACUCAAGGCACCUUUUUGGGAGAGGGGAUCAGAGAUGACUCACCCAAGUGAGGGAGGCAGCCCCUAGCCCACAUCCUAGGCCAGAAUGUAGGGGAGACGCAGCUGCAGGAGCCACCUGUGGGGGACUGCACCCAAAUAGCUGGAGGUCUGAGGCACUAGUGUGCUUAUAAGGGUAAUUCUCCAACUGUGUCCACACUUAACAGCUUAUAAACCCUGGGGUUCCAUAUCUCCUUUGAAUCUCACAGUGACCCUGAACAAGGCUUGUGAUCCUCCUUUUGCAGAUGGUGAAAGGCAAACACAAAGCAUUUUGGUUUUGCCCCUGAGUAGAAAAACAAAACACAGAAAAGCAUUUGGAAAGCAGAGAAAAGUGAAAAAAAGAAAACCGUAGUUACCACCAGAUGACAGUUAGUGUUUUGGGUUCUUUCCUUUUAGACUUUUUUCAGUGACCGUACACACCCAUGCUCACGAGCAGACCCACGCUUGCACAUACAAAAAGGCACACACAAACGCACAUGCACACACACACACACAUGCAAACACACACGUGUGUGCACACACACAAAUGCACACUCACAUACCCACUGAGUGCUCAGUGUGCCAGGGACUGUCAUAAGUGCUUUUUACAUACUCAUUCAUUUACGUUUCAAAACAACUGUGUUAGGUAGACACUAUUACUACCUACAUUUUACAGAAAACUGGCACAGAGAAGUUUUCACUUGCCCCAAGACACACAGAUAGUGGAGGUAGGAGUGGGUAAGGAUUGAGUCCAGACAAACCAAUUGGCUCCAGCCCCCGACCUGUGUUCCUAACCACUCUGCAUUUGGCCUCUGCACACAUCUGUGGAAUUAUUUAAUAUGGGUGAAAUCAUAUCAUAGCCACAGUAUUGCAUCCUGCCUUUUUUCCAUUCAGUAUUGCCUCAUGAGUGUCUCUGAUGCCAUUGCAAUUCUUCUAAAAUGAUUUUCGGUGGCUGCACCACCAGAUGGAGACGUUUUGGCUAGAGUUAACUGCCUUACAUGGGACCCACAACCCAGGAUUAGAACCAGGUCCUCUGGCUCAGAGUUCAGCACUCUUCCCCUUAUACACUGUUGAGAUGGUCACAAAACAAAACAGAGAAAAAGCAUGAAUCCAAAAGUCGCCAAGAUAAGUUGUCAGAUCUGGAAGUGGCCCUAGUACCUGUUAGCUUUGGGCUAAGACUCUUUUUGUUACCCCAGUUGACCUCAUUUUAAACUCUGUGUGAGAAAUUAAUUUUUGAACUCAAGACCAGGAAAACCUCUGUGUCCCCUGAGAAGCUGAUAUGCUUCUUUUCUUUCCUCCUUCAUAAAUGACUAUUUUUCUCUUUUCACUUUUGCCACCAGGAAGCUCAGUGUUAAAUCUGAAGCUAAACUGAAGAAACUAUGUGGUCUCUUACGACUGGUUGCCACAACAGAUGUUGCCAGGUGUCCUUGGAUAGUGACCUCCCAUAUGAAGCCACUUUCCUCUGAUCAGGCCUGACAGCUUCACACUGUGGAGGGAGCUGAGAACAAUAAUCUUUCAAGGAACAGAAAACCAGACGCCACAUGUUCUCACUUAUAAGUGGGAGCUAAACAAUGAGAACACAUGGACACAGGGGGGGGAACAACACACACUAGGGCCUGUUGGGGGUGUGGGGUCAGGGGAGGGAGAGCAUUGGGAAAACUAGCUAACACAUACUGAGAUUAAUACCUAGGUGAUGGGUUGAUUGGUGCAGCAAACCACCAUGGCACAUGUUUACCUAUGUAACAAACCUUCACAUCCUGCACAUGUACCCCAGAACCUAAAAGUAAAAUUAAAAUAAAAAAAAUCUUGAGCAUUCAA